Molecule: ribosomal RNA, 497 nt
Filed under: uncultured bacterium
Lineage: Bacteria
Description: partial 16S ribosomal RNA
Rfam family: Bacterial small subunit ribosomal RNA
Source: RNAcentral
GACGAACGCUGGCGGCGUGCCUAAUACAUGCAAGUAGAACGCUGAAGAGAGGAGCUUGCUCUUCUUGGAUGAGUUGCGAACGGGUGAGUAACGCGUAGGUAACCUGCCUUGUAGCGGGGGAUAACUAUUGGAAACGAUAGCUAAUACCGCAUAACAAUGGAUGACACAUGUCAUUUAUUUGAAAGGGGCAAUUGUUCCACUACAAGAUGGACCUGCGUUGUAUUAGCUAGUAGGUGAGGUAAUGGCUCACCUAGGCGACGAUACAUAGCCGACCUGAGAGGGUGAUCGGCCACACUGGGACUGAGACACGGCCCAGACUCCUACGGGAGGCAGCAGUAGGGAAUCUUCGGCAAUGGGGGCAACCCUGACCGAGCAACGCCGCGUGAGUGAAGAAGGUUUUCGGAUCGUAAAGCUCUGUUGUAAGUCAAGAACGGGUGUGAGAGUGGAAAGUUCACACUGUGACGGUAGCUUACCAGAAAGGGACGGCUAACUACGUG